CAGACUGAAGAUAUCAGGGAUCUCGAUGUAAAAUGUCUAAGGGUGUUCAUCAAUUCAUAGUGGAUCAUCGGAUAAUUUUAAGAAGAAUAUGCAAUCCAAAAUUCUAUUUUAUCCAGGUAUCUACAAAAAUUCAAAUCUCGGUAAGCACAUUUCAACUAUUUUGAGAUUUUUCACAUCCCUCGCUCGGAGAAUACCUGAGUUGAUUCUCUGUCCUGACUCGCCAUCUCUGGCUGUGGGGAGUUGGGAAGGAUCUUCAUCGAGCAUUUCAAGAGCCCGAGCAUCAACUCAA
Molecule: long non-coding RNA, 289 nt
Filed under: Elaeis guineensis (African oil palm)
Lineage: Eukaryota; Viridiplantae; Streptophyta; Magnoliopsida; Arecales; Arecaceae
Description: long non-coding RNA (EGUI_LNC018581)
Source: RNAcentral